Molecule: long non-coding RNA, 7834 nt
Organism: Globicephala melas (long-finned pilot whale)
Lineage: Eukaryota; Metazoa; Chordata; Mammalia; Artiodactyla; Delphinidae
Source: RefSeq, a predicted model, not a curated record
CACUUCCGGGAUCUCGAAGAAGUUGAGCUUCGGGGUUGCGGUGGUGGGGCGAGCUGCCCGCGCUCCCGGGACCGAGGCGGGCCUGCAGACCGCCCGCCGCCCCCCAGGACCCGGCUGGUAGCCCCCUAAGACCGCCCGCCACCCCCAGGUCCACCUGCCGGAGCAGGCGGUGUGUUCUCUGGGCCGCAGGCGAGGAGAGGGGCCAGUUAUGGUCACGCCUCUUUCUCCCCAAGUGAUAAAGCUCAUCUAUUAAAGGAAGCUUUAGGAAUGCGAGUUUCGGGAUUGUUUGACAAGCUACUUCACUGCCUGGUGUAGUUCUUUGGGCAUCAUGAAGCAAACAGCCAGGCUGUGAACAGCCUCCGGGGACCAGGGGCAGCCUCUAGAUCCCAGGGCAGCCAACAAGAAGCCAGGACCCUCAGUCAUCAGCUGCGAGGAAAUGAAUCCUGUAAACACCUUGCAUGGGCCUGGCAGCGGAUUCUCCUCACUGAGACCUCCAGGGGCCCCAGGCAGCAACCGGUGCUCAGAGGCAGUAACCACACUUGGCUGAUGGCCGCUCACUUGGUGCCGCGUGCCGUGUCCUGGACCUCUCACAAAGGCUAAGGAGACGGAGUAGCGGACCCCAGACAGCCCGGCCUCCUGGCUCUCAGGCAUGGUGUGAGGGGCGCCUGGAGAGAUGGGAGGCCUGCAGGUGACAGAGGCCAGGACCCGCAGCCCUGAGAUGGAAAAGCAGGCUGUGUCACCUUUAAAAGAAAGACCACACGAUUACACCUCCAACAGGCUACAGGUAGGAAGACAGGAAGAGACCUGUUUUCACUAAAGGCCACUCCUCCUAAAUGAAAGGGAUAAGGGUUACGUAGUGGGUAGCGCCAAAGACCAAAACUUACGCUACAGCACCCAGCUCUGCUUGCUGUAAGGAUGUGAACUGCAGGUAACAGCUCGGUUUGCCAACGGGUUCCUUGGGCAAGGCGGUUCGUGGUAAGCAUCUGGGAACCCUCCCACACAGCACACCUGUUACCGCUUUCCACCUGCAGCAGCUGAAAGUACGGGCAGCCCAGGGAGCACAGGACAUGCCCUGAACAGAGUGCACGCCUCCGGGGUCCUCCCACCAGCUCCCCGCACAGACCCCGGGUACCCGCUCCUCCUGGCGGAGGUGCACGACACCACUCCCCUUUCCUUGGGUCUUUGUCAAAACUGCAGAAGGAACUUGUCCACAGAAAGUAAAGGGAGGAACCCGUGAAAGCAGACGAAUGAACAGUGGCCCCAUCUGAGGGGGGCCUGGCUCCUGGAAUUUCAGGGGUUAUUCGUGUCAACAUUCCCAACCCCUCCAGUCCCUGCUGACACUUUCUAGGGACACAGGAAAAACCCUGACGCUGGGCCUUUGUCUUUGGUGCCGGUCACAUUUUGUCACCUGAGUGGCUCUCCCGCCCCUACAGACCAUAAGUCAUGGUUUUCAUCAAGGAUCCCCUGGGCAGUGCUCUUAAACGGGCUUCUCACCGAACCCUCCCAGCUCCCAGAGGUGAAAUCUGGUCGGUGGCACCUCGAGCCUCUUCCUAGUGGCGGGACUCCAGGCUCAGAACCUGAGAAUCUUGGAUUGUGAGCCAGCAUUCUGUCCCCCCAGAGAGCCGACCCUUCCCGCGAUGGCCCCACCCCCGUGGCCUUCUCCAUCACCUAUUCAUGACGGCCCCUGCCCACCUUCUGCUGGAGCGUAAGCGGACUCUUCCUGGCUCCCGCCCUCAGGCUCCCGCCUACCACCCAGGGGCAUCUCACUGAAGCCAGCCAUGUCCACUGUGCAGGGAGCAGGUAGGAGCCACCGAACAGGGCUGGAGAGGGGACCCAGGGUGGGCCUGGCCAGAGGAGGGUACGGGGCAGAGGGGCCCUCACGGCAGAGGCGGCCUCUCCUUCCUGAGGACCCCUGCCCUCUGCAGUCUUCCGGGCCGCUUGUUUUACAAAGCCAGGGCCCCAUGACGACAUGGUUUCUUCUGCUGCUCUCUGCCGCCUACAGGAAAACUGAGGUAUGUGGCAGAAUAGACUAAUGACCGAGAGAGCAGGAGACCAAGACUGUCCCAGGCUCCGCAGGGCCCCUUAAAAAUGACUGACGAUGAGGGGAGGCGGAUGGGUGACCCACAGAGGUCCCGCCCUGACCUAAGGAAGUGACCUCUCCCCUCAGCUUGGGAGUGGUCAUUUGCUUGCCCCCAACCAAAGAAGAUGCCUGCUGUCACCAACUUCAGUGCUCUGGUAAAUGGGAACGAGUCCACUUGGCGGCAGAUUUCAAAGGGAAGUACUUGCUGUAAAGCUGAGUAACUUUCACUGAUGCCCGGCAGGGGGUAGAAAAUUUGAGCGGUCCAUCAUUUCCCCUGAAUGAUACUCUGUAAUCACAAAACACCGAGUGAGUCCCAAAGAGCCGUCAUCGUCUUAACGAGUGUCUCUCCUACUACCUGGGCACUCUUGAUUUUAUAAAACCAGGAAUGGCCUUCUGGAAUGGUCCAGACCUAUUUCUAGCCUGAAGCGGGGGUGGGGGUGGGGUGGGGGACACACCUCACAGUCUCUGGGCUGGAGCUCAGUCUGGAGGCAGAAGGACCUAGGUUUGAACCCUCACCUGGGCAAGUGACCCUGAGUUCCUCCAUUAGACAUUCAUUGAGCACCUACUACGUUCCAGGCACUGGGGAUGCAGAGAUAAGUUACAAGGGGUUCAGUGGACCCAGCUCAGUGGGGAGGUGGCCUCUUUCCUCCAAGUUGGGGGUGAUACCUGAGUAGCACGGCCUUGAUACGAAGUAUGAGUCCCUACAGUGUCCAACGCAUAGCAGGAGCGGGAUACACGUUGGUUUCUCUCUUGAAGUUCCAUUUAGAAUUGGCGAUUCUGUCAUUCUGGAAGGUGAUGGGGUAAAACUGCCCCCCACAGAAGAGACGUUGUUGUAUUUCUGAAAGGAUGGUGGGUAUCUUCGUGUAAGGAAGCCUGGCUCCCAGAGGUGAAGUGACUUGUCCAAGUCACACAGGGAGUUUGUAGAACCGUCAGGAUGGGGACCACAUGCCGCCUCAGCAUCCAAAUGUGGCUGCAGUUUUCUUGGACCCCCCCUGCCCUCAGUCAAGAAGUCCUGGAGAAGCACCCUGUUCUGUUACUCUGAAUGUGGCAGAUGAAAAAGGCGUUCAGUUCGUCUUGCGCGUGGUUGCCAUAAUGUGUGGACUUUCGUGUUUGAGCUCAUCGUUAGUCCAGAUACAUCACUGACAUCUAUUGAUACUGCAGUGUGUUCAGAGGUUUUGAGUACAGCUGCUUGGUAACUUAUUUAGCUAGAAACUUUCUAUUCAGAACUUACUCUCUGUUCUUGCGAGAAUUGCUAGAAAAUGUUGACUUAAGGAGAUGCUUCUGUGUUUCAUUGCACAAGUGUGUUCUACUGGGCAGGAUUAUGCAGUGAGGACCACCUCUUAGAGACUGAAGGGCGUAGUAUGGAUUUAAAUAUAGUAAAACAUCCAGGCAGACCUCGGAGGUAUUUUGGGUUUGGUUCCAGACCACCGCAAUAAAGCGGGUCACACAAUUUUUUUCUUCUCCCAGUGCAUAGAAAAGUUACGUUUACAGCACACUGUAGUCUGUUAAGUGUGCAAGAGCAUUAGGUCUAAAAAAAAAUGUGCAUACCUUAAUUAAAAAAUAAUUUAUUGAUAAUACUAAUCCUCAUCUUAGCCUUCAGUGAGUCGUAGUAGUAACAUUACAGAUCGCUGGUCAUAGAUCACCAUCACAAAGAUAAUAAUGAAAAAGCUUGAAACAUUGGGACAAUUACCAAAAUGUACCACGGAGACAUGAAGUGAGCAAAUGCUGUUGGAAAAGUGGCGCCGACAGACUUCCCGCGGGCCUUCAACUUGUAAAAAAUGCAGGUCUGCAAAGUGCAGUAAAGCAAGGUGCACUAAAACGAGGUCUGCCCGUGUAUUGUACUUGCGAUAAGACAGACCUUGUGAUUUGCAUGAAAUUGUCGUUUGUGUUGUGUAAAAACAUCUGUGCUUAAUUUCUAAAAUAUUUAGAAAGAUUUUCCUGUUAGAACUGUAAGGCUUGCCAUCAAAUGGAAAACUCGGUGUUCAUCUAAGAUAAACAUUUAGCAAAUAUUUGGCAAGGGCUUUCUCCAAGCCAGGCGCUUGUAAUCAGUUACAGCCUUGAAUUUGGAAAUGAUAUUUGCUUCCUUUUUAAAAAUUUUACCUUAUUUUUGCCACAAUCCCAACCCCGUGAGGUGCUAGCUUCUCAGAUGCGCAAGCAGCCCAUGUGACGGGUUAUCAGCACUUCUCAAAGCCUGCCAGAAAGGGCGCAGUCCCGGUUUUGGUUUCCUUUGGCUAUACCUGAGGACAGUCCUUGGUGACAGUCAAGGUCUGGAGGACAGUGGCACCUUCCCUGGCCCCCUGGCCAGGGGCCAGCACGUCCCCUACCCGAAAAGGUCCCCUGCUGAGUGCUCCCAGCAAAAACAUGUACGAAUAGCAGUUAAAAUCAUAUUCUCAUUUCUGUGGAACUGGCAAUGCUAAAAAAAUUCUUCUGUUAAUGUAUGCAUGACAUAAAAGUGGAUUGGGAGGAGGAUUUCAGAGACCUGAAAAAUACGCACAGAGGAAGGUGUGUUUCCAAGCCUUCUUCAAGAAGGAAGUGUUUCUGUUAAAAUCAGCACACAGCGGCUGGCUUUCCUCUCAUGCAUUUGCCAUGGAGGCCAUGUGCCGGGAUCGUUAGGGUCACCUGUGCUGGAUCAGGGAUCCAGAGAUCCACCUUCUGUGGCCGGGAGACGGCGGAAAAGUCACGGAACCUCUGUGUGCCUGGGUUUCCUCGUCAAGCGAUUGGGGGCUGUUGGUGACUACUUCUCAGGAUGGCCCCAAGGAUGAACUGAGAUAGGAAGUAGCUUGGAGGUGAGGUUACUCCCGGAGGCUGGACUUGCUUCCUGUUUCAUAUAGAAAACAGAAGCAAUCGAAGCCAGCGUCCCCUCCCUCCUCCUGCCCACCUGCCCGAGUGCCCACGUGCUCCACCUUCUCCCGCUUCUGUGAGUGGCUCGUCUGGGACUCUGCCAGGGACCCCACAUCCUUUUUCCUCCUCCCCCCCUCUUUCUCCCACACCCCCCUCGUCUGCAUCCAAUUGUUCCCACCAACUUACAAACUGUGCUGUUACUUCCCCUUUCCCUUAAAACACCAGCAAACGGGCAAACACGCAAAAGCUGGUCCUUCCGGCCUCCUCACGGCUGGCUCUCCGACCUCCUUCCAGACUCUGCCCACCUACUGGACCAGCCUCUCUGAACAGCAAAGUAAAAUCACACACCACUCACUGCACCGCCUUGCCUGCCUCACUCCCUAUGCCCUUGACCUGCUCAUUCUGCACCCCCCACCCCCCCACCCCCCGCCGACUUUGCAGCACCGGCCCCACCCCAUUGGAGUGUCAGCUCCACAAGGCAGGAUGUCGCCAGUUUUGUUGCCUCCUGGGGCAGAGUGUCUGCUCCAAAAUACUUGGUGAACUGCCACUGAGACGGCGCAGGUCUUUAUCCGAAGGCUAGUGCUUCGCGGAUGCAUACGCUUUCCUUUGGUUAAGUGUUGCUUCAGGAUGUGCGCGUUCUGGGUCCACCCGGGCCGCUCAGCCUCCCCACCCGCCCCGUCCCCUCCUGUUGGCUCCUCCCGAUCCGCAUCCAGGUCCUGGCACCACUGUCACCUGAGCCCGAGACCCUAGCGUCCUGAGUCUCCCAUAUCCAGCCAGGCGGUCGCCAGGCCUUAGCGGGCUCUCCACCUCACGCACCUGGCCUCUCCUCCCUGUCCCUGCAGCUGUCCCUCCUCGUUGAUCCCCCUGCGCCUCUCACCCUUCACGCUGCUGCCGAAGUCAUUUUUCUAAUAGGAGAUCUGAUGCUCCUACUUCUGUUUCAACUCCCAGCGGUUCAGCCCCCUCGCAGGGCUCCGGCCGCACCAGGUGACCUAGAGUCUCGGCAGGUAGUGGGCUGCUGCUCUCUGGGACCGCAGUUCACUCUGCCUGGAAUGCUCGUCCCCUGGUCCCUCGGGACCAGUCACUGCUGGCCAUACUUUCAGGUGGGGGCACUCCCGGGGCACCCAGCGUUCAGAGGCACCUCCAACUCUCCCCCCUCAAGCCUCGAUUGCUGCACUGCUGUAGUGAGGCUUCCUACUGGACCGCUCCUUUUCCGUGGCCAGUUAUCUUUGUUCCCCUCAGGCCUUGCUUGGGGGAAGCUUGGCGAGCCGGUCACCCUCGGCUCAAUGAAGGAAUGACAGGGAGGGGCCUGCUUUGGUGGGAAGUCCCACAUCCUGUCAUUCACUGAGACAUUUCCAAGCGGGGCGGGGGGUAACUGCUGGGGGCGAAAAUCUAUUAUUGGACGAGAAGGGAGCCUGAGGCUAUGGGUUCUUCGGAGUUUGAUCUGUAAACACAGACAUGUGAGGAAGGGAAAAUUAACCAUGAAAUUGAAGACAUCUGCCAACUUAACGAGUCAGAUAGGAAAGGCUGAGGGGUAGGCGGGGAAGGAUGGGGGUCCCGCAGGAGUGUCCACAGCUGACGAAACUUAGGAGGCCUGCCCCGAGCCCACUUUUCCUCGCUCCUUGGUGAGGCUUGGGGUCGUGCCCCAGUUUUCCCUAGGGUGGGGGGGGCGCGGUCUUGAUUUUGGCUGCUCUCACCCUGUGGUUGGUCAGAGCUCACAGCUGCCCCUUGGAGUGCAGGGCCUCCCCACCGUAGACAGGACCUCUGCUGGCCGGAAGUCCUUGGCCACUCGGGGCCAGCCUCCAUUCUGGACCUGGCUCUCCCCCACCAGUGCCAGCCAGGCCCUUACCCGGCCGCCCCUCCUCCCUUCCCACCGGAUUGUUGGGCUACACUUGCGAUAAAGAAUCUCGAUGGUCUCUUAAGAGAAAUUAAAAAUGAGGCGGGGUCUGAGAGUUGUCCCCGAGCUAGAUCAAAGUGCGGGUCACGUGAGAAAGGCUGGGAAACCCCAAACGCUGCAGAAGGCCCGGGAGGGGUGCAGGGGAGCUACAGGGUGUCAGGGCCUGAAGCUCACACAUCUGUUCGUUUAAAGUUUUAUUACAAAACCAUUAAGCUCUUAGCAUGUGACAUAGUGCUUCCGUGAGGGCGUGGGACCGAGCGGCCUUGGUGGUACAGUCUAGGUCACUCCCCUCUUCGGAGCCGUCUCCGGACUGUGGACCAGGGGUCAGUACUUCCUUGGGUUGCCGUGAAGAUUACCGAACCGAGGAGCAACAGUGGGACAGAACCUGCCACACAGCGGUGCCCGAUAUUUAGGGUUUGUUCCCAACAGGGGAGUUAAUUUGUAAUCAGUGGCCACAACCCCUAUAAAUUACCGAAUUUAGUUUGUCAAAAAGAAAACCGAGGAAUUGAACACCAACUGAGCACGAGCAGGCACGAUUCACAGGGUCGCUCAGAAUGCGGAGGCCCCGGCCCCUCUGUCCGGGGCGGUGACAACCAGGGGGCGGCCUGGGGACUCGUCCGGCCAAGUACCUCCUCCGGGCCGCCCCUGCCCCCCAGGCCUCAGCCCUCCUCAGUGGUGGGUGGGCUCGGGCCCCCGAGGCCCAGCGGGCCAGGAGCGCCGGGAGGGACAGGUCUACAGGCCAUAAGGUCACGCCCCUAGUGUGGCGUCUCUGGGUCGGCGUGGGGGCGGGGGCUCUCCUCGCUGUGUGAGGUCUGGGAUCGCGGAUGCCGGGUGGGGACGCCCGGACUGGAGGCCCGCGGGGCGGCUGAGAGCGGGCGCGGCUCCUUUAAGACGCCGUCGGCCCCGCCCCACCCCCCCGCGGGAGCCGCGCCACGUGACCCGGGUCUUGUGACCGGCGGGGGGAGGCGCGGGGGGAAGCCCGCGGCACCCGCCUCCAGGGGGCCCAGCCCCACCGCCGC